RNAcentral lists this ribosomal RNA (253 nucleotides) under uncultured bacterium. RNAcentral's name for it is "partial 16S ribosomal RNA". It matches the Rfam family "Bacterial small subunit ribosomal RNA", at positions 524 to 776 of the family's 1533-position model. The record is from RNAcentral.
GACGGAGGGUGCAAGCGUUGUUCGGAAUUACUGGGCGUAAAGGGCGCGUAGGCGGUCUGUUAAGUUCGGUGUGAAAGCCCCCGGCUCACCUGGGGAACUGCGCCGGAAACCGACAGACUCGAGUACCGGAGAGGAGGGUGGAAUUCCUGGUGUAGCGGUGAAAUGCGUAGAUAUCAGGAGGAACACCGGUGGCGAAGGCGGCCCUCUGGACGGAUACUGACGCUGAGACGCGAAAGCGUGGGUAGCAAACAGG